AUUGAACGCUGGCGGCAUGCCUUACACAUGCAAGUCGAACGGUAACAGGUCUUCGGAUGCUGACGAGUGGCGAACGGGUGAGUAAUACAUCGGAACGUGCCCGAUCGUGGGGGAUAACGAAGCGAAAGCUUUGCUAAUACCGCAUAAGAUCUACGGAUGAAAGCAGGGGACCGCAAGGCCUUGCGCGAACGGAGCGGCCGAUGGCAGAUUAGGUAGUUGGUGGGAUAAAAGCUUACCAAGCCGACGAUCUGUAGCUGGUCUGAGAGGACGACCAGCCACACUGGGCUUGAGACCCGGCCCAGCCCCCACGGGGGGGCAGAAGGGGGGAAUUUUGGAAAAUGGGCGAAAGCCUGACCCAGCCAUGCCGCGGGGAGGAUGAAGGCCUUCGGGUUUUAAACUGCUUUUGUAGGGAACAAAAAGACUCUGGUUAAACCCGGGGGUCCAUGACGGUACCGUAAAAAUAAGCCCCGGCUAACUACGG
This 481-nucleotide ribosomal RNA is filed under the name uncultured bacterium. Its description in RNAcentral is "partial 16S ribosomal RNA". It matches the Rfam family "Bacterial small subunit ribosomal RNA", at positions 29 to 506 of the family's 1533-position model. The record is from RNAcentral.